This 305-nucleotide ribosomal RNA is filed under the name uncultured bacterium. RNAcentral's name for it is "bacterial SSU rRNA". It matches the Rfam family "Bacterial small subunit ribosomal RNA", at positions 337 to 640 of the family's 1533-position model. The record is from RNAcentral.
UCCUACAGGACGCAGCAGUGAGGAAUAUUGGUCAAUGGGCGGGAGCCUGAACCAGCCAAGUCGCGUGAAGGAAGAAGGUACUUAGUAUUGUAAACUUCUUUUGUCGGGGAACAAAGGCGGAGACGCGUCUCCGGAUGAGUGUACCCGAAGAAAAAGCAUCGGCUAACUCCGUGCCAGCAGCCGCGGUAAUACGGAGGAUGCGAGCGUUAUCCGGAUUUAUUGGGUUUAAAGGGUGCGCAGGCGGAGGCACAAGUCAGCGGUAAAAUCGCGGGGCUCAACCCCGCUCCGCCGUUGAAACUGUGUCC